Entelurus aequoreus (snake pipefish) is the source of this 376-nucleotide long non-coding RNA. RefSeq lists it as uncharacterized. The transcript has 3 exons. Lineage: Eukaryota; Metazoa; Chordata; Actinopteri; Syngnathiformes; Syngnathidae. The record is from RefSeq and is a predicted model, not a curated record.
GUCACAGACAGACAGCGCCACAGCGGGCAAAGCGGAGGAGACAGCAGUAUGCCUCAAAAAUCAGGCAGCCAAAAAAGAAAGGCAAAUAAAACAAGAGAGGAGAAGGAGUUGAAGGGUCGACGAUAUGUCACCCAAUAUUUCCCAAAAAAAGAGUCAAGUGCACCAGCAGCAGCAGCAGCAGCUGUCUGUCAGCCCCCAAGUCCCCCUGCCCCUGAAUCAGCCCCAGUGCCCCCACAGGAGGAAGGAGUGUCUUGACCAGUGCAAUAGUCGCCUCAGGCACUUAUCACACGAGGUCUGCCCACCAAACCUGAGCGCCCUCCUCGCAUGAGUGACUUCAUAAAAUUCAAUGUGCAUAAAUAAAUAAAUCCUUUACCGG